GACGAACGCUGGCGGCGUGCCUAAUACAUGCAAGUCGAGCGAAGUUUUUCUGGUGCUUGCACUAGAAAAACUUAGCGGCGAACGGGUGAGUAACACGUAAAGAACCUGCCUCAUAGACUGGGACAACUAUUGGAAACGAUAGCUAAUACCGGAUAACAGCAUUAACUGCAUGGUUGAUGUUUAAAAGUUGGUUUUGCUAACACUAUGAGAUGGCUUUGCGGUGCAUUAGCUAGUUGGUGGGGUAAAGGCCUACCAAGGCGACGAUGCAUAGCCGACCUGAGAGGGUGAUCGGCCACACUGGGACUGAGACACGGCCCAGACUCCUACGGGAGGCAGCAGUAGGGAAUCUUCCGCAAUGGGCGAAAGCCUGACGGAGCAACGCCGCGUGAGUGAAGAAGGAUUUCGGUUCGUAAAGCUCUGUUGUUAGGGAAGAAUGAUUGUGUAGUAACUAUACAUAGUAGAGACGGUACCUAACCAGAAAGCCACGGCUAACUACGUGCCAGCAGCCGNCGGUAUACGUAGGUGGCAAGCGUUGUCCCGGAUUAUUGGGCGUAAAGCGCGCGCAGGUGGUUUAAUAAGUCUGAUGUGAAAGCCCACGGCUCAACCGUGGAGGGUCAUUGGAAACUGUUAAACUUGAGUGCAGGAGAGAAAAGUGGAAUUCCUAGUGUAGCGGUGAAAUGCGUAGAGAUUAGGAGGAACACCAGUGGCGAAGGCGGCUUUUUGGCCUGUAACUGACACUGAGGCGCGAAAGCGUGGGGGGCAAACAGGAUUAGAUACCCUGGUAGUCCACGCCGUAAACGAUGAGUGCUAAGUGUUGGUCUCAUAAGAGAUCAGUGCUGCAGCUAACGCAUUAAGCACUCCGCCUGGGGAGUACGACCGCAAGGUUGAAACUCAAAGGAAUUGACGGGGACCCGCACAAGCGGUGGAGCAUGUGGUUUAAUUCGAAGCAACGCGAAGAACCUUACCAAGUCUUGACAUACUGUGAGGACACAAGAGAUUGUGUUGUUCUGACCUUUGGUUAGACACAGAUACAGGUGGUGCAUGGUUGUCGUCAGCUCGUGUCGUGAGAUGUUGGGUUAAGUCCCGCAACGAGCGCAACCCUUAUAUCUAGUUGCCAGCAGUAAGAUGGGGACUCUAGAUAGACUGCCAGUGAUAAACUGGAGGAAGGUGGGGAUGACGUCAAAUCAUCAUGCCCCUUAUGACUUGGGCUACACACGUGCUACAAUGGAUAGGAACAAAGAGAAGCGAGCUCGCGAGAGUAAGCAAACCUCACAAAACUAUUCUCAGUUCGGAUUGUAGUCUGCAACUCGACUACAUGAAGCUGGAAUCGCUAGUAAUCGCGAAUCAGAAUGUCGCGGUGAAUACGUUCCCGGGUCU
Molecule: ribosomal RNA, 1377 nt
Filed under: uncultured bacterium
Lineage: Bacteria
Description: bacterial SSU rRNA
Rfam family: Bacterial small subunit ribosomal RNA
Source: RNAcentral